AUUGAACGCUGGCGGCAGGCCUAACACAUGCAAGUCGAGCGGAUGAAGGGAGCUUGCUCCUGGCUUCUGCGGCGGACGGGUGAGUAAUGCAUAGGAAUCUGCCUGGUAGUGGGGGAUAACGUCCGGACAGGGGCGCUAAUACCGCAUCCGUCCUGAGGUAGAACGUGGGGGAUCUUCGGUCAUCACGCUAUUAGAUGAGACUAGGUCGGAUUAGCUAGUUGGUGGUGUAAAGGCCUACCAAGGCGACGAUCCGUAACUGGUCUGAGAGGAUGAUCAGUCACACUGGAACUGAGACACGGUCCAGACUCCUACGGGAGGCAGCAGUGGGGAAUAUUGGACAAUGGGCGAAAGCCUGAUCCAGCCAUGCCGCGUGUGUGAAGAAGGUCUUCGGAUUGUAAAGCACUUUUAGUUGGGAGGAAGGGCAGUAAGUUAAUACCUUGCUGUUUUGACGUUACCAACAGAAUAAGCACCGGCUAACUUCGUG
This 484-nucleotide ribosomal RNA is filed under the name uncultured bacterium. Its description in RNAcentral is "partial 16S ribosomal RNA". It matches the Rfam family "Bacterial small subunit ribosomal RNA", at positions 30 to 507 of the family's 1533-position model. The record is from RNAcentral.